GGUGGGGAAAAAAAUAAAAAAAAGAAAAAGAAAUAUGGCCGCGUUAACAUUGUUGUUGGCACACCUGUUUUAUUCUUUGUUCAAAAUUGAAAUGAUAAAAAAAUUGAAUUGAAUUGAGAAUUUAAUGAUGGCUGGUCCAGUGAUGAUUGAGUUUUUAAAGAACAGCAAAUGUUUUUGCUUUUUAAAUAAAAAUAAUGUUGCUGCUCCAAAAUCACUUACUCCAAGAUGACUAUGUUGGCACAUGAGGCUAUUCAAGAUGCUCCAUUUAUGUACUGAAAAUUCAUAGAGAUGCAAACUCUUGACUUGAGUUCAAAUUCAACCCAACACAUUGUUAUUUGCAGAGAUAAUCUACAUGAAAAAAAACAGACAUCUCUUCAUGUUUUAGAGUGUUGCAGAGGUGUUGAGAUUAAUAAAUAAUAAUGUUGUCCCUGGAGAUUUGAUGAAUACACAUCUCACCUAGUGAAAAAAAUUUUAAAUGGUAAAUAAAUAUUUAAACAAUUUAUUGUAUAUUUAGUAUAUUUUUUAUGAUUUUUUAAAUGAUGAGU
Long non-coding RNA from Aphidius gifuensis, 545 nucleotides. RefSeq lists it as uncharacterized. The transcript is spliced from 4 exons. NCBI's taxonomy places the organism in Eukaryota, Metazoa, Arthropoda, Insecta, Hymenoptera, Braconidae. The record is from RefSeq and is a predicted model, not a curated record.